Molecule: ribosomal RNA, 305 nt
Filed under: uncultured bacterium
Lineage: Bacteria
Description: bacterial SSU rRNA
Rfam family: Bacterial small subunit ribosomal RNA
Source: RNAcentral
CCCUACGGGGGGCAGCAGUGGGGAAUAUUGCACAAUGGGGGAAACCCUGAUGCAGCGACGCCGCGUGAGUGAAGAAGUAUUUCGGUAUGUAAAGCUCUAUCAGCAGGGAAGAUAAUGACGGUACCUGACUAAGAAGUUCCGGCUAAAUACGUGCCAGCAGCCGCGGUAAUACGUAUGGAGCAAGCGUUAUCCGGAUUUACUGGGUGUAAAGGGAGCGCAGACGGCAAGGCAAGUCGGCGGUCAAAUCGCGGGGCUCAACCCCGCCCAGCCGUCGGAACUGCCGGGCUAGAGUGGGCGAGAAGUGC